GUCAGGAUGGCCGAGUGGUCUAAGGCGUUAGACUCAAGUUCUAAUUCUCGUGAGAGAGCGUGGGUUCAAAUCCCACUUCUGACA
RNAcentral lists this transfer RNA (84 nucleotides) under Sphenostylis stenocarpa. RNAcentral's name for it is "tRNA gene-AYBTSS11_LOCUS24610". It matches the Rfam family "tRNA". Rfam says of the family: Transfer RNA (tRNA) molecules are approximately 80 nucleotides in length. Their secondary structure includes four short double-helical elements and three loops (D, anti-codon, and T loops). The record is from RNAcentral. Lineage: Eukaryota; Viridiplantae; Streptophyta; Magnoliopsida; Fabales; Fabaceae.